CCUACGGGGGGCUGCAGUGGGGAAUUUUGGACAAUGGGGGCAACCCUGAUCCAGCCAUGCCGCGUGAGUGAAGAAGGCCUUCGGGUUGUAAAGCUCUUUCGGCCGGGAAGAAAUCGCUCAAGCUAAUACCUUGGUUGGAUGACGGUACCGGAAGACGAAGCACCGGCUAACUACGUGCCAGCAGCCGCGGUAAUACGUCGGGUGCGAGCGUUAAUCGGAGUUACUGGAGGCAAAGCCAUAAGACAGGGGGGAAAUCCCCGGGCUUAACCUGGGAACUGCGUUUGUGACUGUGGUGCUCGAGUGCGGCAGAGGGGGGUGGAAUUCCACGUGUAGCAGUGAAAUGCGUAGAGAUGUGGAGGAACACCGAUGGCGAAGGCAGCCCCCUGGGUCGACACUGACGCUCAUGCACGAAAGCGUGGGGAGCAAACAGGAUUAGAUACCCUGGUAGUC
This 450-nucleotide ribosomal RNA is filed under the name uncultured bacterium. RNAcentral's name for it is "partial 16S ribosomal RNA". It matches the Rfam family "Bacterial small subunit ribosomal RNA", at positions 338 to 795 of the family's 1533-position model. The record is from RNAcentral.